AGUUGCAUCUUUUUCAACAUGUCCUCUAGUAGAGGAAGUUUGGAUUUUUUUGAGCAUCUACUGGAUAUUCCCAACACACGUCAUGCUGAUAUUCUAGUCCGGCUACAGGGCUUUUGGGUUAAUGCUUCGAGUUCUUCUGCGGCUAGUUAUCUCCUACAAUUUUUGUCAUCGAUUGUUUGUUGGGGAAUCUGGAAGGCACGGAAUCUUCAAUUUUUUGAAGGUGUUAUCAUCCCAGCUACUCUCCUCUAUCUCAUAUUCUCGCUGAAAUUCAAACCUUCUUGAAAGUUUGGCCUUUGUCCCAUACGAAGGAAUCUGAUGCGAAGCAUCUUGCGAUGGGUA
This 339-nucleotide long non-coding RNA is filed under the name Coffea arabica (coffee). Its description in RNAcentral is "long non-coding RNA (CARA_LNC002587)". The record is from RNAcentral. Lineage: Eukaryota; Viridiplantae; Streptophyta; Magnoliopsida; Gentianales; Rubiaceae.